AGGGUUAUAAUUUACUUAAAAUAUUUGAUUUGCAUUCAAAAAAUAUUGAAAUUUCAAUUUACCUU
This 65-nucleotide transfer RNA is filed under the name Antheraea assamensis (Indian muga silkmoth). RNAcentral describes it as "tRNA-Ala". Lineage: Eukaryota; Metazoa; Arthropoda; Insecta; Lepidoptera; Saturniidae. The record is from RNAcentral.